UACAGAGGGUGCAAGCGUUGUUCGGAAUUACUGGGCGUAAAGCGCACGUAGGCGGCUUUGUAAGUUAGAGGUGAAAGCCCCGGGCUUAACCUGGGAACUGCGUUUGAUACGGAUGGGCUAGAGUUCGGGAGAGGAGAGUGGAAUUCCCAGUGUAGAGGUGAAAUUCGUAGAUAUUGGGAAGAACACCGGUGGUGAAGGCGGCUCUCUGGACUGACAUUGACGCUGAGGCGCGAAAGCGUGGGGAGCAAACAGG
Molecule: ribosomal RNA, 253 nt
Filed under: uncultured bacterium
Lineage: Bacteria
Description: partial 16S ribosomal RNA
Rfam family: Bacterial small subunit ribosomal RNA
Source: RNAcentral